This 494-nucleotide ribosomal RNA is filed under the name uncultured bacterium. RNAcentral describes it as "partial 16S ribosomal RNA". It matches the Rfam family "Bacterial small subunit ribosomal RNA", at positions 31 to 507 of the family's 1533-position model. The record is from RNAcentral.
GAACGCUGGCGGCGUGCCUAAUACAUGCAAGUCGAGCGAACAGACGAGGAGCUUACUCCUCUGACGUUAGCGGCGGACGGGUGAGUAACACGUGGAUAACCUACCUAUAAGACUGGGAUAACUUCGGGAAACCGGAGCUAAUACCGGAUAACAUGUUGAACCGCAUGGUUCAACAGUGAAAGACGGUCUUGCUGUCACUUAUAGAUGGAUCCGCGUCGCAUUAGCUAGUUGGUAAGGUAACGGCUUACCAAGGCAACGAUGCGUAGCCGACCUGAGAGGGUGAUCGGCCACACUGGAACUGAGACACGGUCCAGACUCCUACGGGAGGCAGCAGUAGGGAAUCUUCCGCAAUGGGCGAAAGCCUGACGGAGCAACGCCGCGUGAGUGAAGAAGGUCUUCGGAUCGUAAAACUCUGUUAUUAGGGAAGAACAAAUGUGUAAGUAACUAUGCACGUCUUGACGGUACCUAAUCAGAAAGCCACGGCUAACUACGUG